AGGGAGCCAGUUCUGUCCAGGACAGCUGCAAGCUAAACCCCAAAGCAGGUCAAUUCAUAGGAACUAAUAAAAGGACUCUCUGAAGGAACCCUUUUGCUCACCCAGGCUCUGAGGUCACAGAUUGUACCUUGUGCUGCAGGACUCUGUUCCGGAAAAUGACUGCUGCUUCUCUUGAGGGGAACAACUUCAGGGCUCAUGUAAGAGUAUGGACAAGCUGUUCAAAAUAUCUGAGAAACUGAAAUGAUGGAAAGCUGAUUAAGAAUCAAAGAAGAUCUGCUGAGGAAAAAAAUAUUAGUCCUGUGUUUUUAUUAGCUUCCUAAUGCAUAAAGACACCUGACAGGGUUUUUGUGUGUGUGUUUUUGUUUUUCCUGCAUUUUUUUACAUUAGACAUUCAAGUUUUGAAUGCCCUGUUUUUCCCCGUAGACUUUUAUGAAUGAUGGGAGAAGUGGUAGUCUUAUGACAUCAUUGUAACCAAUAAACUUCAAUGAAUGAGAUGGGAAAUUAUAUUUAUUCAGACUGUUUAAAAACAGGGGGAUUUACUGUUUGUUUGCUUCUAUUAAUCUCUAUUUAACUCAGGUAAGGGCUGAGAAAGCUCCCAGUCCACUCUGAGUCCUCCAAAGAGACUUCUAGCAAAAGGAAGUUUUUUGGAUCUUGCUAAAAAACCAGCAGAGGAAAAAAAAG
This is a long non-coding RNA of Dermochelys coriacea (leatherback sea turtle), 681 nucleotides long. RefSeq lists it as uncharacterized. Lineage: Eukaryota; Metazoa; Chordata; Testudines; Dermochelyidae. The transcript has 3 exons. The record is from RefSeq and is a predicted model, not a curated record.